This 218-nucleotide long non-coding RNA is filed under the name Salvia miltiorrhiza (redroot sage). RNAcentral's name for it is "long non-coding RNA (SMIL_LNC014407)". Lineage: Eukaryota; Viridiplantae; Streptophyta; Magnoliopsida; Lamiales; Lamiaceae. The record is from RNAcentral.
AUAUAUACAUAUUCUGUUAACAGUAAGCUCGCAUUUUGUAAAAUUAAUUCACAGUUUAAGUUAAUCUAUCUUAGAUGCACCUAUUAAAUUAUUAAUUAACUAACAACUAACAACCAAUAGUAGCUAAUAAAAUAUAGAAACUUUUUUUUUUAGAAAAAGAAAAAGUUAACUGCAUCCCGGGUUCAAACCCCACUGCUCCUCCUCCCCAACUCCCCCAA